This is a long non-coding RNA of Phymastichus coffea, 1219 nucleotides long. RefSeq lists it as uncharacterized. The transcript is spliced from 3 exons. Lineage: Eukaryota; Metazoa; Arthropoda; Insecta; Hymenoptera; Eulophidae. The record is from RefSeq and is a predicted model, not a curated record.
CGACGAUUCGCAAAGCCGAACUCGCAGUAGGCGUAGUCGCGUCGCACGCAACGCACAUCAUCGUCAUCGUCAUCGUCAGGCCGUUGGUGUGCGGCACUGCGCCGUUCUCUCGCAUCGACGUCGUUCGCUCGCGCGGUAUGAGUUUCGCCGCUGAGUGCUACUUCCCCGUCGACCGGACCGACUGCGACGCAGAAAAGCAUGGCCGUCCGCAAGAUUCUGUCACGCUGCCGCCGCUAGCGAGAGCCUGGCACGCGCCGCGUCCUCGUUCGUGGCGGGCAUGUGCGCCGAGAUGCCGGUGCUGUGCGCGGGUGUCGUUUUUGUGGUGUUGUCCGCUUCGGCGAUGAAGAUGUGUGGGACGACGGUGCUUCAGUGGCGGCGACACGUGACACACACGCCGAGGGUUGAACGACUCUCCGGCCUCUCGAGCGCCGCCACGCAACGAACUCCAUUUUCGCGAGCAAACGGGGCGAGAAGGAGGCGAGAGGAGCUUUCGCGCGGAAAGCUCUCGCUCGCGGCGGCGUGUGCAAGGCGUCGCCGCGGGCAUGAAACUCGCAUGGCGGCUGCGGCAUGAGCGCCGCGACGUGUAGGCGCUCACACACACACACACACACAGACACACAGACACACACACACACACACACACACACACACACACACACACACACAUUGCCGUGCGGUACGGUGCAGUGCUUUGACCUCUUCGUAACUACGAGUCGCGUGCAGCGCAGGCCCCGUCCUCUGCAGGCUGGUCGCGCGACAUCGGAUCGCCAUGCCGGCGAUGAAGAGUGACGGAGAGGGCUUCGUCGGAGGCUGCGCGACAACGAGUAGGGAUGGAGGAUGAGUAUGAUCGAGGCGAAGGGGGACAGAGUAAUGGCGAACACGGUGCCAUUGGCGAGGGAUCGCAGCUCAACCCAAUGGAUCGACUAUUCCACCACGCUAUAUCGCAGAAGCCAGCUGAAAGGUAAAUCAAACAUGACUAUAUAGUAGCAGUCAGCAUCAAAUCACAACAUCUCGUAAGUAGACGUGAAAUCGGUCAGAAGCAAUAUAUAUCCUCUCACAUACAUACACACAGGCGCCGCGGCUCAAGAUGAAUGAGCGUAGAUAAAACGCCGCGUGAGAAUCGAACUUUUAGAGCGCCACAGCAGCAGCGUUUCUCGGAACUCUCUCGCAACACACAUUGUCUCGGUCACUUUUUAUUCCUUUUUGUCAAAGUAUCUUA